ACCCUCCCAUUCCUUUGUCCAUCAUAUCUGAACACUGGUGUUGGUCAUCUUCAAAGGAUGAAUACAUAAUACUGAAUCUGGUCUCACAGAGCUCAUAAUCUGCUGUGUAGCACAUGGGCUAGUUUUUGGUUUUU
RNAcentral lists this small nucleolar RNA (134 nucleotides) under Sorex araneus (European shrew). RNAcentral describes it as "Small nucleolar RNA SNORA61 (ENSSARG00000018031.1)". Lineage: Eukaryota; Metazoa; Chordata; Mammalia; Eulipotyphla; Soricidae. The record is from RNAcentral.